This is a long non-coding RNA of Brassica oleracea var. oleracea, 275 nucleotides long. RefSeq lists it as uncharacterized. The record is from RefSeq and is a predicted model, not a curated record. The transcript has 2 exons. NCBI's taxonomy places the organism in Eukaryota, Viridiplantae, Streptophyta, Magnoliopsida, Brassicales, Brassicaceae.
CCUUUUUUUUGGAACCGACAACCAUAGACGGCGGACUUUCUUUGGAUUGCGAAAGUUGAAUAGAUUGGCAUUUCUUAUGUAUGGUGCUACUUCGCCUGUGCAAAAUGUCCAAGCAAACUUCAACGUGAGUUGAUAUCAUUUACUUGCGGAGCAUGUCAUAAUGAGAAUGACGAUGGGGUUAUAAGGUACCGUGUGCAGCUUUCAGUGUCAGAUGGCUCGGAGAACAGUGAAUGUCUGUUCAGCCUGCUUUAGGCAGAGUCACAGUACUGAGUAGA